UUCCGCACAUUCACGGGCACUCGGCUGAGUCCGCUCCGGCUCCGUGCUCUGGUCUGUCUAUAGGUAAAGCCUCAGUGGAGCCGCCCCGAGGUUCCACAGGACGCUCCCGGCCAGCUGUGAGUGCCCACUCCGGAGGCGGCGCAGGGGCUCGGCGACGCAGCCACACACCUCGCUCUUGGGAAGUUAAAGCCCAGUGCGACCUCUUCGAGGCUGGAGAGCGGACUUAAGGCCACUUCUCCCCGGAAAGAUGCACGAAUGUGAAUUUUUAUAUUAAUUCAGGAGCUGUUUGAAAGGCGGGGGUGGUUCAUCCACUCCAGCAGCGCGCGUCCAGUUUCUUUCUUACGCCACUAGAUAGGACGGUCCCUUGCGGCCCUCUGGGAAGAAAUGACCCCAAGAGUGGCAACAACACAACCUGCAGGGGGUGGGGGAAGGAGUGGCGGGUUUCCUCUCCCGUAGGUAUACUGCCAUCCCCUGCGGGCAGGGAAUUCAGAAGGGCAAGUGUCCAGGGGCUUGCUCGUCGCCCGAGGCGUGCUGGUGCCAGCCCCGCUAGUGCGUGUCUACUGCCCCGUCCCCCCGUUCCCUCCCCCCAACUGCUGCUACUGGGCUCUUUCCGGGGAGAAGGGUCCUGCUUUGGAGCGGGUAGAAGGAAAAGAUGCCAGCGAAAAUGGCUAAUCCUUUUCCAGCUGCAGUAACCCGAUGGCUGGCCAAAGCCGAGCGAAAACCGCUGCAGUGAAAAAUGAUUCCAGCGCCACGUCUGCGGCUGAGAACCGAGCGGCAGGGCAGCAAACGACCUGUGGAUCAAUGAAAAGGAGAUGGUAGCGCAUCUGAAUAUUAACACCGUAUUGCCUCUGUACUGCCCACUCUCCCCUCUCCCCUUCCAGCCCCCUUGUCUUUUUCUUCAGGUCUGCGGGAUGGAAAGGCCAUGUUUUGCGCUCUUGGAGCUGACUCAUCAGAACCAUGCAGCCUUUUGGAAAAGGACGACCCACAGCAACCAUCACCAGCCAUGACGGAAGGGACUGCUCCAUACCAAUAGAUCCUGAAUUUUGAGUUGGUUAUUGUCAAUGGAUGAAAUUAGGGGAAUCGGUCACAUGGAGAACCAAAUGUAUUGUAUGAAAUUCUGCCUACUUCAAGGAUUGGACAUCUCCAUGGUCCUUUAGAGUCAUCUGAAUCUUUUGACACAGCUAUGGCAGUCUGUAUCUGGAGGCAUCACCGCAAGGCAUAGUGCAGAAAAAGAGGGGAGACAAAGAGAUCUUCCACUUACUCACUGGUUCACUUUUGAAAUGGCUGUAACAGCAAGGGCGAGGCCAGGCCAAAGCCAGGAGCCAAGAACUCUGUCCAGUUCGUCCACAUGGGUGACAAGGACCUGAAUACGUGGGCCAUCAUCCGCUGCAUUCACAGUCACAUUGACAAGACUCUGGACUCAAAUUGAAGCAUCCAGGACUUCAACCGGCUCUCCAGUAUGAGACACUAGCAACCUAAGCAGUGACCAGCCACACCGUGAUUCUUUCUUGCUAGUACACCUUUUUAUUUUUUGGUACAGAUAUUCAAUGUAAGAUUACCACCAGUUAGCAAAAAUUAAGUCAGAGGUUCUGCUUCCAUCACAGAUGGACCAACUGAAGAAGCUUCUCUGUUCUAGUAUCCUCACAGUGCUUUCCAAAUGAUAUAACUCACAUUAAGAUUUAAAGACAAUAAUAUGAAAAGACCAGAACAUAUGUAUAAUAUUGAAAAUCUAAAAGCACAAACUUUGUCUUAUAAAUUAGUUAUCAAUUUGCUAGCUGGCAUUGGUCAAUUAACUUCUCCUUGAGUCCUUAUUAAAGCAUUCUCUUAUUACAUUUCUGAUGUCAGAAAUUCCUACCUAUUGAAAAAUGUUGGGACAAAUUCUGUGAAUUUUACUGUUAUCUUGCCCAUUAAUUUAUGCAACUGAGGAAAAUAGAAUUUGAAUGCUGCUUCAUAUUUAUCAAGAUAAUUCUGAAAAGGCCAACUGAGUAAAAGGACAAAUAGAAAACAUGACCUUGGCUUUAGUAGCUACCUUUAUUCUACAUUAAAUAAGAUGAUGUUCUUCAGAAAUAAUGGAUUAUUUUUAUAUGGCGAUCCUACAAAAAUUUGUUGAAAAAAGAAAUUAAAAUUAAUAUUGUUUAUGUUGCAAUG
Molecule: non-coding RNA, 2148 nt
Organism: Oryctolagus cuniculus (rabbit)
Lineage: Eukaryota; Metazoa; Chordata; Mammalia; Lagomorpha; Leporidae
Source: RefSeq, a predicted model, not a curated record